AUUUAAAUACCCCUAGACAGUAUGGAUAAUGAUCAGGUAGAACAGAUUUAAAUACCCCUAGACAGUAUGGAUAAUGAUCAGGUAGAACAGAUUUAAAUACCCCUAGACAGUAUGGAUAAUGAUCAGGCAGAACAGAUUUAAAUACCCCUAGACAGUAUGGAUAAUGAUCAGGUAGAACAGAUUUAAAUACCCCUAGACAGUAUGGAUAAUGAUCAGGUAGAACAGAACAGAUUUAAAUACCCCUAGACAGUAUGGAUAAUGAUCAGGUAGAACAGAACAGAUUUAAAUACCCCUAGACAGUAUGGAUAAUGAUCAGGUAGAACAGAACAGAUUUAAAUACCCCUAGACAGUAUGGAUAAUGAUCAGGUAGAACAGAUUUAAAUACCCCUAGACAGUAUGUAUAAUGAUCAGGUAGAACAGAACAGAUUUAAAUACCCCUAGACAGUAUGGAUAAUGAUCAGGUAGAACAGAACAGAUUUAAAUACCCCUAGACAGUAUGGAUAAUGAUCAGGUAGAACAGAACAGAUUUAAAUACCCCUAGACAGUAUGGAUAAUGAUCAGGUAGAACAGAUUUAAAUACCCCUAGACAGUAUGGAUAAUGAUCAGGUAGAACAGAACAGAUUUAAAUAACCCUAGACAGUAUGUAUAAUGACCAGGUAGAACAGAACAGAUUUAAAUACCCCUAGACAGUAUGGAUAAUGAUCAGGUAGAACAGAACAGAUUUAAAUAACCCUAGACAGUAUGGAUAAUGAUCAGGUAGAACAGAUUUAAAUACCCCUAGACAGUAUGGAUAAUGAUCAGGUAGAACAGAACAGAUUUAAAUACCCCUAGACAGUAUGGAUAAUGAUCAGGUAGAACAGAUUUAAAUACCCCUAGACAGUAUGGAUAAUGAUCAGGUAGAACAGAUUUAAAUACCCCUAGACAGUAUGGAUAAUGAUCAGGUAGAACAGAACAGAUUUAAAUACCCCUAGACAGUAUGUAUAAUGAUCAGGUAGAACAGAUUUAAAUACCCCUAGACAGUAUGGAUAAUGAUCAGGUAGAACAGAUUUAAAUACCCCUAGACAGUAUGGAUAAUGAUCAGGUAGAACAGAACAGAUUUAAAUACCCCUAGACAGUAUGGAUAAUGACCAGGUAGAACAGAACAGAUUUAAAUACCCCUAGACAGUAUGUAAAGGGUGUACCGGUCCCAGUAGCUGCGUCCUCUCGGGAAGUACUCCAGGUUGACCCGCCGGACCAUCCAGUGUAGAGGGUGUGUUAGGAGAGUCUCCUCCCCAGGGAUCAGUCUCCACAGACUGGGUUCUAGCUGGAGGGGAACCAGCAG
Oncorhynchus keta (chum salmon) is the source of this 1321-nucleotide long non-coding RNA. RefSeq lists it as uncharacterized. The transcript has 5 exons. The record is from RefSeq and is a predicted model, not a curated record. Lineage: Eukaryota; Metazoa; Chordata; Actinopteri; Salmoniformes; Salmonidae.